GAGGAAUAUUGGUCAAUGGACGCAAGUCUGAACCAGCCACGUCGCGUGAAGGAAGACGGCCCUACGGGUUGUAAACUUCUUUUAUACGGGAAUAAAGUGCCCCACGUGUGGGGUUUUGCAUGUACCGUAUGAAUAAGGAUCGGCUAACUCCGUGCCAGCAGCCGCGGUAAUACGGAGGAUCCGAGCGUUAUCCGGAUUUAUUGGGUUUAAAGGGUGCUCAGGCGGGGGGUUAAGUCGGCGGUGAAAUUUUGCAGCUCAACUGUAAAAGUGCCUUCGAAACUGGUUCCCUUGAGUGCGGAUGAGGUAGGCGGAAUUUGUGGUGUAGCGGUGAAAUGCAUAGAUAUCACGAAGAACUCCAAUUGCGAAGGCAGCUCACUGGAGUGUAACAGACGCUGAUGCUCGAAAGUGUGGGUAUCAAACA
Molecule: ribosomal RNA, 421 nt
Filed under: uncultured Porphyromonadaceae bacterium
Lineage: Bacteria; Pseudomonadati; Bacteroidota; Bacteroidia; Bacteroidales; Porphyromonadaceae
Description: bacterial SSU rRNA
Rfam family: Bacterial small subunit ribosomal RNA
Source: RNAcentral